Molecule: ribosomal RNA, 584 nt
Filed under: uncultured bacterium
Lineage: Bacteria
Description: bacterial SSU rRNA
Rfam family: Bacterial small subunit ribosomal RNA
Source: RNAcentral
CCUCGGGAGGCAGCAGUGGGGAAUUUUGGACAAUGGGGGAAACCCUGAUCCAGCGAUGCUGCGUGCGGGAAGAAGGCCUUAGGGUUGUAAACCGCUUUCAGCUAGGAAGAAAAGGUUAUAGUUAAUAUCUGUAACUCAUGACGGUACUAGCAGAAGAAGCACCGGCUAACUACGUGCCAGCAGCCGCGGUAAUACGUAGGGUGCAAGCGUUAAUCGGAAUUACUGGGCGUAAAGAGUGCGCAGGCGGCUCUUUAAGACAGGUGUGAAAUCCCCGAGCUCAACUUGGGAAUUGCGCUUGUGACUGAAGAGCUAGAGUGCGGAAGAGGGGGAUAGAAUUCCUGGUGUAGCAGUGAAAUGCGUAGAUAUCAGGAGGAAUACCGAUGGCGAAGGCAGUCCCCUGGGCCAGCACUGACGCUCAUGCACGAAAGCGUGGGGAGCAAACAGGAUUAGAUACCCUGGUAGUCCACACCGUAAACGAUGAAUGCCAGUCGUCGGAUAGUAUACUAUUCGGUGACACACCUAACGGAUUAAGCAUUCCGCCUGGGGAGUACGGUCGCAAGAUUAAAACUCAAAGGAAUUGACGG